This is a long non-coding RNA of Epinephelus fuscoguttatus (brown-marbled grouper), 746 nucleotides long. RefSeq lists it as uncharacterized. Lineage: Eukaryota; Metazoa; Chordata; Actinopteri; Perciformes; Serranidae. The record is from RefSeq and is a predicted model, not a curated record. The transcript is spliced from 3 exons.
UAAACAAGCGUAAAUAAAUCGCAAAGUACAAUAUAAGAUUAAUACAAUAAGAAUACUUUGUUGUGGUGGAUUCGGCGCGCAGAAAGCCAAACGAGGACGACUCCAGUGUAAUAAAACGCCACUUACCGGUUGGAAAGCUCCUCAUUCCCACUGUCCACCAUCACUGGAUUGAUGGAGGCAGACUUCAGAUAAUGACAGGCGACUCAAUGAGUAAAGGUUUAAUUGCUUCCAGGUCAUGGCUUCUAUGUGCAUUUAAGGCAUGCCGAAUUGAAAAGUAUCUCCUAAUUAUAUGUAAAUAUGCGCACAUUGGACUCUGUCUGGAAUAUUCCCUUCGUAGCUGUCAAAUAAACUUUAAAUUGUCCGAGUUUUAAAUGGAGUUCGUCCGGCGUGAGGGACAGCCGCCUUACAGGCCCAGAGGGGAGCUGCACGCCAGAGACAAGCACCAACUGAGAGAGGGUUUUGCUAAGCCAGCCUGGAAGCCACAGAGGAUGAACAUGAGCCAUGACUGAGACAAACACAUGUCACACAAAGACAGAGCUGGUCGGGGUCACAUUUCUGGCUGGCGCAUUUCUGGUCUGGGUCAGAAAUGCUCUUCUUCCUGUUCUCAGAUGUGACCCCGGGGCUCAGGAAGCUCUUUGCAGCUGUACCACCUUCCCAACUGUGACAGCAGCUCUGAAUGGCAGGAUGUCCUGCUUUGGGUUCCCCUGAGCGGCCCUGUCAGAGGCCAGGCAACGCAGCAAGGUUCA